CUGCAGCUCCCUCAUAUUGAAGAGGACAAUCUUAGACGGGUUUCUAAUCAUAAGAAGUAUAAAAUUAAAACUAUCCAGGAUUUGGUGAGUUUAAAAGAAUCAGAUCGUCACACUCUACUGCACUUCCUUGAAGAUGAAAAAUAUGAAGAGGUUAUGGCUGUCCUUGGGAGUUUUCCAUAUGUGACCAUGGAUAUAAAAUCACAGGUGUUAGAUGAUGAAGAUAGCAACAACAUCACAGUAGGAUCCUUAGUUACAGUGUUGGUUAAGUUGACAAGGCAAACAAUGGCUGAAGUAUUUGAAAAGGAGCAGUCCAUCUGUGCUGCAGAGGAACAGCCAGCAGAAGAUGGGGUAAAAACUUGGGUUUCCGAACCUAUUUUUCCUAGUGAAAGAAAUAUUUUAUUUACUUUUCCAAUUGACUUAUAUUGCUCUGGGAGAGUAAUUCAGUUUAGCUAUUUCCACCUAAAAAUUACUACAACCUUCAAUUGAAUCUGUUGCUAUAACUUACGAGUGUGACGUGUUAUGAUUCACAGCAGGGUGAAACUAACAAGAACAGGACAAAAGGAGGAUGGCAACAGAAGAGUAAAGGACCCAAGAAAACUGCUAAAU
RNAcentral lists this small RNA (606 nucleotides) under Pongo abelii (Sumatran orangutan). Its description in RNAcentral is "retained intron". Lineage: Eukaryota; Metazoa; Chordata; Mammalia; Primates; Hominidae. The record is from RNAcentral.